This 416-nucleotide ribosomal RNA is filed under the name uncultured bacterium. RNAcentral describes it as "bacterial SSU rRNA". It matches the Rfam family "Bacterial small subunit ribosomal RNA", at positions 485 to 900 of the family's 1533-position model. The record is from RNAcentral.
AAUAGGCACCGGCUAACUCUGUGCCAGCAGCCGCGGUAAUACAGAGGGUGCGAGCGUUAAUCGGAUUUACUGGGCGUAAAGCGUGCGUAGGCGGCUUUUUAAGUCGGAUGUGAAAUCCCUGAGCUUAACUUAGGAAUUGCAUUCGAUACUGGGAAGCUAGAGUAUGGGAGAGGAUGGUAGAAUUCCAGGUGUAGCGGUGAAAUGCGUAGAGAUCUGGAGGAAUACCGAUGGCGAAGGCAGCCAUCUGGCCUAAUACUGACGCUGAGGUACGAAAGCAUGGGGAGCAAACAGGAUUAGAUACCCUGGUAGUCCAUGCCGUAAACGAUGUCUACUAGCCGUUGGGGCCUUUGAGGCUUUAGUGGCGCAGCUAACGCGAUAAGUAGACCGCCUGGGGAGUACGGUCGCAAGACUAAAAC